RNAcentral lists this ribosomal RNA (409 nucleotides) under bacterium. RNAcentral's name for it is "partial 16S ribosomal RNA". It matches the Rfam family "Bacterial small subunit ribosomal RNA", at positions 355 to 776 of the family's 1533-position model. The record is from RNAcentral.
UGGGGAAUAUUGCACAAUGGGCGAAAGCCUGAUGCAGCGACGCCGCGUGAGGGAUGACGGCCUUCGGGUUGUAAACCUCUUUCAGCAGGGACGAAGCGCAAGUGACGGUACCUGCAGAAGAAGCACCGGCUAACUACGUGCCAGCAGCCGCGGUAAUACGUAGGGUGCAAGCGUUGUCCGGAAUUACUGGGCGUAAAGAGUUCGUAGGCGGUUUGUCGCGUCGUUUGUGAAAACCAGCAGCUCAACUGCUGGCUUGCAGGCGAUACUGGCAGACUUGAGUACUGAAGGGGAGACUGGAAUUCCUGGUGUAGCGGUGAAAUGCGCAGAUAUCAGGAGGAACACCGGUGGCGAAGGCGGGUCUCUGGGCAGUAACUGACGCUGAGGAACGAAAGCGUGGGUAGCGAACAGG